Molecule: ribosomal RNA, 212 nt
Filed under: uncultured bacterium
Lineage: Bacteria
Description: partial 16S ribosomal RNA
Rfam family: Bacterial small subunit ribosomal RNA
Source: RNAcentral
CAGUUCGGAUUGUAGGCUGCAACUCGCCUACACGAAGUUGGAAUCGCUAGUAAUCGCGAAUCAGAAUGUCGCGGUGAAUACGUUCCCGGGUCUUGUACACACCGCCCGUCACACCACGAGAGUUUACAACACCCGAAGUCAGUGGCCUAACCGCAAGGAGGGAGCUGCCUAAGGUGGGGUAGAUGAUUAGGGUUAAGUCGUAACAAGGUAGC